This 455-nucleotide ribosomal RNA is filed under the name Fusarium sp. Nitaf07. RNAcentral's name for it is "eukaryotic LSU rRNA". The stretch from base 107 to 260 matches the Rfam family "5.8S ribosomal RNA". The record is from RNAcentral. Lineage: Eukaryota; Fungi; Ascomycota; Sordariomycetes; Hypocreales; Nectriaceae.
UGCCUCGGCGGAUCAGCCCGCUCCCGGUAAAACGGGACGGCCCGCCAGAGGACCCCUAAACUCUGUUUCUAUAUGUAACUUCUGAGUAAAACCAUAAAUAAAUCAAAACUUUCAACAACGGAUCUCUUGGUUCUGGCAUCGAUGAAGAACGCAGCAAAAUGCGAUAAGUAAUGUGAAUUGCAGAAUUCAGUGAAUCAUCGAAUCUUUGAACGCACAUUGCGCCCGCCAGUAUUCUGGCGGGCAUGCCUGUUCGAGCGUCAUUUCAACCCUCAAGCACAGCUUGGUGUUGGGACUCGCGUUAAUUCGCGUUCCCCAAAUUGAUUGGCGGUCACGUCGAGCUUCCAUAGCGUAGUAGUAAAACCCUCGUUACUGGUAAUCGUCGCGGCCACGCCGUUAAACCCCAACUUCUGAAUGUUGACCUCGGAUCAGGUAGGAAUACCCGCUGAACUUAAGCA